UGUUUCGGCUAGGGGGUCAUCCCGACUUACCAACCCGAUGCAAACUGCGAAUACCGAAGAAUGUUAUCACGGGAGACACACGGCGGGUGCUAACGUCCGUCGUGAAGAGGGAAACAACCCAGACCGCCAGCUAAGGUCCCAAAGUCAUGGUUAAGUGGGAAACGAUGUGGGAAGGCACAGACAGCCAGGAUGUUGGCUUAGAAGCAGCCAUCAUUUAAAGAAAGCGUAAUAGCUCACUGGUCGAGUCGGCCUGCGCGGAAGAUGUAACGGGGCUAAACCAUGCACCGAAGCUGCGGCAGCGACACUAUGUGUUGUUGGGUAGGGGAGCGUUCUGUAAGCCGUUGAAGGUGUGCUGUGAGGCAUGCUGGAGGUAUCAGAAGUGCGAAUGCUGACAUAAGUAACGAUAAUGCGGGUGAAAAACCCGCACGCCGGAAGACCAAGGGUUCCUGUCCAACGUUAAUCGGGGCAGGGUGAGUCGACCCCUAAGGCGAGGCCGAAAGGCGUAGUCGAUGGGAAACAGGUUAAUAUUCCUGUACUUGGUGUUACUGCGAGGGGGGGACGGAGAAGGCUAUGUUAGCCGGGCGACGGUUGUCCCGGUUUAAGCAUGUAGGCGGAGAUUCCAGGUAAAUCCGGAGUCUUGUUAACGCUGAGGUGUGAUGACGAGGCACUACGGUGCUGAAGUAACAAAUGCCCUGCUUCCAGGAAAAG
RNAcentral lists this ribosomal RNA (708 nucleotides) under Citrobacter braakii. Its description in RNAcentral is "partial 23S ribosomal RNA". It matches the Rfam family "Bacterial large subunit ribosomal RNA", at positions 911 to 1617 of the family's 2925-position model. Lineage: Bacteria; Pseudomonadati; Pseudomonadota; Gammaproteobacteria; Enterobacterales; Enterobacteriaceae. The record is from RNAcentral.